This 275-nucleotide ribosomal RNA is filed under the name unidentified marine bacterioplankton. RNAcentral describes it as "partial 16S ribosomal RNA". It matches the Rfam family "Bacterial small subunit ribosomal RNA", at positions 37 to 339 of the family's 1533-position model. The record is from RNAcentral.
UGGCGGUAUGUCUAAUACAUGCAAGUCGAACGCGAUCUUCGGAUCGAGUGGCGAACGGCUGAGUAACACGUUGGAAGCUGCCCGCACUCGGGGAUAACCCGCCGAAAGGCGUGGCUAAUACCGGAUGGUCCCGAAAGGGUAAAGAUUUUUUCGGUGCGGGAGGCGCCUGCGGCCUAUCAGCUUGUUGGUGAGGUAAAGGCUCACUAAGGCUAUGACGGGUAGCUGGUCUGAGAGGAUGACCAGCCAGAAUGGGACUGAGACACGGCCCAUACUCC